UCUUAUUAUUUAUAAUAACUGCAACUGAGUUGUUGAGCUUAAAGGGUUAUGCGUAUGCUGAAAGUUUCAGUUAGUCUUGAAAUGUAACACUUUUUUUCUCUGUUUUAGGUGUUCAUGGAGAUCUAAUUAACGUUACAGGAUUAUGGGCAAGAAUCUCAAGCAUGAAAUCAUUGACCAGAGAAAGUUGGGCAGCUGUUGACAGCUUUCACAACAAAUCAAGUGAUUCAUUUUACUCCCCAACAGACUAAAGAGCCGACUGAUACUAGGUCUCUGAUGCUCAGAGGACUCCCUAUCAUUCAUUUGGCGACAAACCUACAGAUUUCUACAAAGUAUGCUUUGACUCUGAUGACAUUGGAAUCCUCCUCAUUGAGCAUGAAGGUGACAUGCUCUCAUCUUCUCUCCAUCUCAAUCCAACCUCAUUGAAGAUCAUCAUUGAAGGAGAAGUUGUGAUGGACAAUAUUGACGACUUGCCAAAAGCUAUGUGCAUUCUGUAUGGACUUGCUUAUGCACUGCAUCUGACUUACGCACUGCAUCUCAACUACCCUAAAUCUAUGAAGAACACAUUCCAGUUCAUCCAACAGGUACUUCUCAUGAGAGAGAAGACGACUUGGACUAUGCGCAUAAACCUUGCGCGCGGUAUACAAACGAACAUGGAACAAUACAUUUAU
Molecule: long non-coding RNA, 668 nt
Organism: Sinocyclocheilus grahami
Lineage: Eukaryota; Metazoa; Chordata; Actinopteri; Cypriniformes; Cyprinidae
Exons: 3
Source: RefSeq, a predicted model, not a curated record